RNAcentral lists this ribosomal RNA (419 nucleotides) under Hyphomonadaceae bacterium. RNAcentral describes it as "bacterial SSU rRNA". It matches the Rfam family "Bacterial small subunit ribosomal RNA", at positions 7 to 429 of the family's 1533-position model. The record is from RNAcentral. Lineage: Bacteria; Pseudomonadati; Pseudomonadota; Alphaproteobacteria; Hyphomonadales; Hyphomonadaceae.
GAGAGUUUGAUCCUGGCUCAGAGCGAACGCUGGCGGCAGGCUUAACACAUGCAAGUCGAGGGGUAUAUGUCUUCGGAUAUAGAGACCGGCGCACGGGUGCGUAACGCGUAUGCAAUCUACCUUUUACAGGGGAAUAGCCCAGAGAAAUUUGGAUUAAUGCCCCAUAGUAUAAUUGAAUGGCAUCAUUUAAUUAUUAAAGUCACAACGGUAAAAGAUGAGCAUGCGUCCCAUUAGUUAGUUGGUAAGGUAACGGCUUACCAAGACAAUGAUGGGUAGGGGUCCUGAGAGGGAGAUCCCCCACACUGGUACUGAGACACGGACCAGACUCCUACGGGAGGCAGCAGUGAGGAAUUUUCCGCAAUGGGCGCAAGCCUGACGGAGCAAUACCGCGUGGAGGACGAAGGCCCGUGGGGCGAAAA